Molecule: ribosomal RNA, 423 nt
Filed under: Leuconostoc pseudomesenteroides
Lineage: Bacteria; Bacillati; Bacillota; Bacilli; Lactobacillales; Lactobacillaceae
Description: bacterial SSU rRNA
Rfam family: Bacterial small subunit ribosomal RNA
Source: RNAcentral
GACGCACAGCGAAAGGUGCUUGCACCUUUCAAGUGAGUGGCGAACGGGUGAGUAACACGUGGACAACCUGCCUCAAGGCUGGGGAUAACAUUUGGAAACAGAUGCUAAUACCGAAUAAAACUUAGUGUCGCAUGACACAAAGUUAAAAGGCGCUUUGGCGUCACCUAGAGAUGGAUCCGCGGUGCAUUAGUUAGUUGGUGGGGUAAAGGCCUACCAAGACAAUGAUGCAUAGCCGAGUUGAGAGACUGAUCGGCCACAUUGGGACUGAGACACGGCCCAAACUCCUACGGGAGGCUGCAGUAGGGAAUCUUCCACAAUGGGCGAAAGCCUGAUGGAGCAACGCCGCGUGUGUGAUGAAGGCUUUCGGGUCGUAAAGCACUGUUGUAUGGGAAGAACAGCUAGAAUAGGGAAUGAUUUUAGUUU